AGCCACAGGAGCCACAGGAGCCACAGACACAGCUACAGGGGCCAUGGAAACAGGCGGGGGUGCCAUCCCCUGGGCGAUGGUCUGAGCCAAAGCAGCUGACAGUGGUGUGAUCUCUGGGUUCAGGUGCCGAAACUUGCACUUGGUUCCUCUCUGACAGUCACCUUUGAGGAAGUCUCGGCAGAUAGGGACCUCCUCCUUACCAUUGGGUAGGUCAGCAGAUUUCGCCAAAAUGACUAACGGGAUUGGAAGACAGAUACACGGGAAUAUGCAAGAUGGAAAGAGUAGCCUCAGAAUAAAAGAAACAUGUGAAAAGAAACAAGCCAUUACUAAAAGAUAAUAAAUGAUGACCAGGUGAAGACUUAAGUGCCUUCAAAGCCUGAUCCAGUCCCACCAGAAGCAGA
Long non-coding RNA from Mastomys coucha (southern multimammate mouse), 401 nucleotides. RefSeq lists it as uncharacterized. The record is from RefSeq and is a predicted model, not a curated record. The transcript is spliced from 3 exons. Lineage: Eukaryota; Metazoa; Chordata; Mammalia; Rodentia; Muridae.